Molecule: microRNA precursor, 71 nt
Filed under: Scleropages formosus (Asian bonytongue)
Lineage: Eukaryota; Metazoa; Chordata; Actinopteri; Osteoglossiformes; Osteoglossidae
Description: mir-137 microRNA precursor family
Rfam family: mir-137 microRNA precursor family
Source: Rfam by way of RNAcentral
CUCGACCACGGGUAUUCUUGGGUUGAUAAUACGGAUCUCGAUGUUAUUGCUUGAGAAUACGCGUAGCUGAG